UUGCUGAGGGUCGUGGUAAUAACUAAGGUAGAAUCUGCUACCAAAACACUUACCACAAAGUGUAUGGUAAAGAAUUUGGCCUUGACCAGAAAAGACUAACCACGGCCUUCAGCUCGUGGGAGAAAGAAAUGCAGCUUGAAACCCAAGUGGGGAAGGGCAUCGGAGGGUUGCAUGGUAUUCUAGAAACAGAAGACCUCUGCAUUCAGAUUCCCACCCCUGCACCUUUCUGGCUUGAUUUUGGCUUCAAAAGACAUAAAUAAGUCACUGGCUCAUGGGGGACAGAAAGUAAGACAAGGUCUGCCGAAACCAAGCAGGAUGGCAGUUGGGAAGCAAGAUGCCACAUUAACCCCUGGAGCCUGGACCACAGCCACUUAAAGAGAAUAUAUACCCACCAGGACAGAACCUAUGACACUCAUGUGAG
Neofelis nebulosa (Clouded leopard) is the source of this 421-nucleotide long non-coding RNA. RefSeq lists it as uncharacterized. The transcript has 3 exons. NCBI's taxonomy places the organism in Eukaryota, Metazoa, Chordata, Mammalia, Carnivora, Felidae. The record is from RefSeq and is a predicted model, not a curated record.